GGGGCUGUGGCUCAGUGGCAGAGGGCUUGCCUCGCAUGUAUGAGGCACUGGGUUUGAUUCUCAGCACCACA
RNAcentral lists this transfer RNA (71 nucleotides) under Marmota monax (woodchuck). Its description in RNAcentral is "tRNA.Ala". The record is from RNAcentral. Lineage: Eukaryota; Metazoa; Chordata; Mammalia; Rodentia; Sciuridae.